CUAAGUAAGUUGGAUUGAAAUAUUAAUUCAUAGCUUUUCAUCAUUGCACAAUCAUAGCUGCAUUCGUUUGCACAUCAGCGUUUAUUCAAAUAAAAAAUAAAACAAAAGUUGGAGAGUUGGCAACUAUACAUCGUGUCGUCUGUUCGGUAGAAGCCUGUCACUGGGUUUGUUUAUUUGCUGCUCACGGUCCUCGUUGUUGUAUGUCGAUGAAAACUAAUUGCAUGAUUAGUCUGUUCAGGGUACACAAACUACAACUUGCUUUAUAGAGACAUGUUUACAAUCAAGAAUGGAGGCGACAAAGAGGUCCAUGGGGACUGACCCCUGCUAUAUCCUGGUGUCAAAGUGAAGACUUCAAGGAGAGAGUAGACCUUUAGAAUAUAAGACUGAGAAUGAGAACCAUACCACUCCUACAAAAAGUGAGCAUUUUCAAGAAACUGGCAACUGCGCCCUGUUUAAAGGCAACAGUGAAUUACUGAUUUGUGGGUGCUUGUUGAAACAGAUGCCCAAAAGGUUCUUGAACUGUCCUUCACCUACCCUUGGUAAUUUAUAUUGAAAUUUCGUUUCCUAAUGAUGGGAUGUCCUGUACGACCCUACGAUAAAUUAAAAAAAUUUAUUCUGACGUAACAGCUGUGAACAUUCUUGUGGAGGGACAAAUGGUGAUUAGGAAGAUGAGUCACAUUCAGAAUUGAGUGAAGGCAGGAACUUUGAGUUGUUAGACUGCUAAAAUGAGAGAAGUCCUUUAUGUACCUAUCCUGCCUCAUUUCUCGGCAGGUAUCUUGUUAUGAUAAGAGCAAAAGCACAACAGAAUUUGCUGUGAUAAGAUGGGAUUACAAACACGUACCUCAUAGACAUUCCAGCUGAAACUUUGGGAGCACUGGAUAGGUUUGAGUAACUAGAGGUAUGUAAGAUUUAGGUUUGAGUAACUAGAGGUAUGUAGAUUUCAACAGAUGAGUAAAAAAUUCACCAGGGCACUUUGGAAGUAAAACAAAAAAAAAAAUUUUAAUUACAUGAUCUCCCCUUAUUUUUUGUCUCUUAUAUUAAGAUCAUGUCAGUUUUUAAAACAUGAGGAAUAAUCACAGGAACCUAACAGCUGUUGUAAGACUUGUGAAACAAUCCAGAGAUGACCCUCAGGCUCUGUUGAAUGCUAAGCAGUCUGAGUUCUUAUCUACUGUAUACUGAUCGGUCCUUGUUGGUAUUGUCAUCAGAGUAGUUUACCAAGAAAACUGAGUCCCCUAAAUAUCCUUGUUUGUUGUUGUAGAUUAAGCUGACCUUAUGCCAGCACGGGCUCUUGCUCAUAGAGUAGCCCGUAAGGUAGAUAACCUCAUAAGGCUGACCUGAAGUGCUUUUUCUCGAACUGGGGACAAAGAUUGGUGGACAGUAAGUAUGAGGAAGUUUGAGAACUUGAUGGGAAAAAAACAAGGAGUAAGAUAAGAAACUUAAAGGACUCAAAGCAAUGUACCUUAAGUCAAAGUUUCACAGCAAAGAACUUUCAGUGUGGCCUAUAGUUCAAUGGAAAUUCCUUUGUAUUCAGUCUGUUGUCAGGUCAGUAGUGCAGGGGCUGAAUGCAGUUUCUGUUUUACUAGACACUGCUAAAAUGUCUUACUGUUUCAACUCAUGCUGAUGUAGGGAAACACUUAUAAUGACUAAAAUACUUUCAAGAUGAAACUAAAAUGAAGACGCAGUUAUCUGGAACAAGAAGAAAAGCCCAUAAUUAAAAUUACCUGAGAAUUUUACUGCAAACGGGAACAUCAAAGAAAGGAGAGAAAAUUGUCAACAUGGGAAGAGGAAUAUAUUCAAAUUAAUCUGAAAUAACAAAAAUCAAAGUAAAUAAUCAAAACUUCAUGUGAGGAAAAAUCUUGGAAGAAAGAUUUCAGAGAAAUGGAAGUAGCUCUACUACCUUCCUUGAAAGGAUAAGCACCAGAACCUACAACACUGCCAGGCUGCUUGAGUUGGUAUGACAAUAUGACAGCUUGACACCUCGUCAAGAUUAUGCUACAGAUAUACCUUGGUGGGUAUAGUACUUCCUGUGCAAAAUCGUCAAUGUAAGGGGAAUGUGACAACAGUCCGAUCGGGCACCUGUUGGCUGGGGUGAAGCUUUAGGGUGUCAGGGUAGUACCCUACAUUGAUGGCAUCCCGUUUUCCAAAGUCUCCUGCCCAUACAAGAAGCAUCGCGUGAAUUAAACCCUUGGACAUGUAUUUGGUCUUCCUGCUUUUUAAGGGAGCUUUUGGUAACCAGUUACAAUGAAGUGUACUAGAAACAAGGACUCCUGCGUAGUGUUGACGUGGUUGACAUUUAAGUAAACUAGAAAUGUCUGAACAUUAGUGAUAUUUCAUUUUCAUUCAUUCAAAUCUUUUAAUUUUAAUCUCUAUUUUAAGAAAGUUAACGUAAGAAGCACACAUUAUUUGUAACUAAGGUAAUGUAGGAUAUACAAAAGCUAAGGUAAUGAAGAUGCACUCAUUAUUUUGACUUGCAUUAAGUAAGUGACAAUAUUCACAUAGAUGUUGUGAGCUAGAUAUAGACCUAGUAUUGUACAUUUGUUGGCUUCAAAUGGCUUUCAGAUGUUCUACUGAUGUAAUAGUAUAAAUAGACUUCAGGUUUAUUACUGUGUAAAUCGCACGAAUUAAUGUAGCAUCACCUAAUUCUAUUGUCUUUUUGAGAAAGACAAAAUCAAUUCAUAUUGAGAGCACGUUAGAGUCAUUAUCUGCUUGAAAAGUAGUGAAGUACUUCGUUAGGCAGCCUUUUGACAACGGAAAAAUGUCUUAAGUUGGUUAAGUGAAACUUGGAAAAGAUCACAAAGUUACAGGAGUGACAGGAAUUUUUCUAGUCCUCCAAGAUUAUUUCUGGUUCUGUGAUAUGAACACAUUUGUUAAUUUCAGGUAAGCAGUAGCUCUAUCAGUAAGGAAAAAUGUCAGCAACACGUGUCUCAAGGUAAAAUAAAUUCUCGUGAUCAUUAUGAAGCUUUUCAGACCUAUUUCAGCCCAAGUUAGCCAAUUGGAAGGUUUCCUAGAGAGAGGAUUUUUCAAGUAACUAGAAGUUGCCAAAUACUUGAUUAACUUCCAGUCAGAGAGAGAGAGAGAGAAACCCACACUUCUCAUGAGUUUCACUCUGUGAAUGUUUGACUUUAUAAGGUUCCCUGGUCUGCAGGGCCCCAGGAAAGACUCCUUUGUACCAGUAAUGAGGUAUUUUGCUAGCUUGUUCAAGUUUACAAAUAAUUAUGAAACAAAAAAUUAUGAAACAAAGCUACAAAAAUAGAGCCUGCAUAUAAUGCUAUCUCAAACUAAAUUACUACAAUAAUUUGUCAGUCACUGAGGUGCAUAUCACAAGUUUUUUUUCUUGUAUACAGAAGCAAUUUCAUAUGAAAUUUUCCUCCGUCCAGGAGAUUAUUAAAUUUUCUCCAACUUUGAACUCUAUAAGAUUAGAUGACAGCCUAUAAACAAAACCUUUUUAAAAUCUUUUUAAACCCUAAGUAGGAAGGGGUCUGAAAGAGUGGGAAAAGUAGGAGCACUUGGAGGCCUGCACAAGGGACUGCAACAUUACUACACAAGCCUAUGUAGUGUCUUUUUAACCUGAAUACUUCCGUCAGCUAUCUGUGUUAACUCAUACAUUGCGUAGUAUGUGCAUUUAUCUAUUGAUAAGAGUAGGAAAAUUACUUGAAACUUAAAAUUGUACACAACUUUAACGCAGCACGGAAUACUGUAGAACUGCUUUGAGAUGCCUUGUCCAAAUUAUGCUGUAACUAAUAACUUAAAAGGUAAAACUUAGCAAAUUAACUCUUGUCUAAAUAAAAACAUCAUACUCAUUUUUGGUCAAAACAAAAUCCUUUGUGGUCUCUUUCAAGAGAUUUUUCCUCACUGGUUUAGUUCUUAUUAAAACAAAUAUUUCAAGAAACUGUUAUUUUGUUACAAACAAAUGGUGUUUACUUGAAGAGGUUUCAAACCCAAUUUGUCUCCACCAGCUUGCUCACAAGAUCUGAUGUCAGCGACAAGAUAUAACUUUUUCCCUUGUCACUUCUGCUACCCCGU
Long non-coding RNA from Macrobrachium nipponense, 4023 nucleotides. RefSeq lists it as uncharacterized. The record is from RefSeq and is a predicted model, not a curated record. NCBI's taxonomy places the organism in Eukaryota, Metazoa, Arthropoda, Malacostraca, Decapoda, Palaemonidae. The transcript has 3 exons.